RNAcentral lists this long non-coding RNA (271 nucleotides) under Mytilus galloprovincialis (Mediterranean mussel). Lineage: Eukaryota; Metazoa; Mollusca; Bivalvia; Mytilida; Mytilidae. The record is from RNAcentral.
UCCAGGGUAAUGCUUGUUUUAUCAUUUUAUAAAGGAUGAUUUAUCCUAUAAAGGAAAAGACUGAUGACAACGCCUAUCUAUAUGACGCCUAUCUAUAUGACGUACUAAAUCCAAGUUAUUAAUUUAUUCUAUAGAAUGUUUCACUAAUAUUCCUCCAUUUUUUUCUACUUCGUAUAUUUUUUUUUCGCCAUUUCUUCUUGUUUUAUACAGAAUUUACAAGAUAUAAAAACGCUUCAUAUGUGAUUUAGAUCAUAACCACUUUUAAUGUUUG